RNAcentral lists this ribosomal RNA (1193 nucleotides) under bacterium. Its description in RNAcentral is "bacterial SSU rRNA". It matches the Rfam family "Bacterial small subunit ribosomal RNA", at positions 61 to 1258 of the family's 1533-position model. The record is from RNAcentral.
GCCGUUACAAACGAUGAAGCCCAGCUUGCUGGGUGGAUUAGUGGCGAACGGGUGAGUAACACGUGAGUAACCUGCCCUUAACUCUGGGAUAAGCCUGGGAAACUGGGUCUAAUACCGGAUAGGAGCGUCCACCGCAUGGUGGGUGUUGGAAAGAUUUAUCGGUUUUGGAUGGACUCGCGGCCUAUCAGCUUGUUGGUGAGGUAAUGGCUCACCAAGGCGACGACGGGUAGCCGGCCUGAGAGGGUGACCGGCCACACUGGGACUGAGACACGGCCCAGACUCCUACGGGAGGCAGCAGUGGGGAAUAUUGCACAAUGGGCGCAAGCCUGAUGCAGCGACGCCGCGUGAGGGAUGACGGCCUUCGGGUUGUAAACCUCUUUCAGUAGGGAAGAAGCGAAAGUGACGGUACCUGCAGAAGAAGCACCGGCUAACUACGUGCCAGCAGCCGCGGUAAUACGUAGGGUGCGAGCGUUAUCCGGAAUUAUUGGGCGUAAAGAGCUCGUAGGCGGUUUGUCGCGUCUGUCGUGAAAGUCCGGGGCUUAACCCCGGAUCUGCGGUGGGUACGGGCAGACUAGAGUGCAGUAGGGGAGACUGGAAUUCCUGGUGUAGCGGUGGAAUGCGCAGAUAUCAGGAGGAACACCGAUGGCGAAGGCAGGUCUCUGGGCUGUAACUGACGCUGAGGAGCGAAAGCAUGGGGAGCGAACAGGAUUAGAUACCCUGGUAGUCCAUGCCGUAAACGUUGGGCACUAGGUGUGGGGACCAUUCCACGGUUUCCGCGCCGCAGCUAACGCAUUAAGUGCCCCGCCUGGGGAGUACGGCCGCAAGGCUAAAACUCACAGGAAUUGACGGGGGCCCGCACAAGCGGCGGAGCAUGCGGAUUAAUUCGAUGCAACGCGAAGAACCUUACCAAGGCUUGACAUGUUCUCGAUCGCCGUAGAGAUACGGUUUCCCCUUUGGGGCGGGUUCACAGGUGGUGCAUGGUUGUCGUCAGCUCGUGUCGUGAGAUGUUGGGUUAAGUCCCGCAACGAGCGCAACCCUCGUUCCAUGUUGCCAGCACGUCGUGGUGGGGACUCAUGGGAAAACUGCCGGGGUCAACUCGGAGGAAGGUGAGGACGACGUCAAAUCAUCAUGCCCCUUAUGGUCUGGGCUUCACGCAUGCUACAAUGGCCGGUACAAUGGGGUUGCGAAACUGG